AUCGAACGCUGGCGGCAUGCCUUACACAUGCAAGUCGAACGGCAGCACGGGUGCUUGCACCUGGUGGCGAGUGGCGAACGGGUGAGUAAUACAUCGGAACGUACCUUAUCGAGGGGGAUAACGCAGCGAAAGCUGUGCUAAUACCGCAUACGCCCUGAGGGGGAAAGCGGGGGAUCGCAAGACCUCGCGCGAUUAGAGCGGCCGAUGCCUGAUUAGCUUGUUGGUGGGGUAAAAGCCCACCAAGGCGACGAUCAGGAGCUGGUCUGAGAGGACGAUCAGCCACACUGGGACUGAGACACGGCCCAGACUCCUACGGGAGGCAGCAGUGGGGAAUUUUGGACAAUGGGGGCAACCCUGAUCCAGCAAUGCCGCGUGAGUGAAGAAGGCCUUCGGGUUGUAAAGCUCUUUUGUCAGGGAAGAAACACCGGCUCUAACACAGUCUGGGAAUGACGGUACCUGAAGAAUAAGCACCGGCUAACUACGUGCCAGCAGCCGCCGUAA
This 501-nucleotide ribosomal RNA is filed under the name uncultured bacterium. Its description in RNAcentral is "partial 16S ribosomal RNA". It matches the Rfam family "Bacterial small subunit ribosomal RNA", at positions 29 to 523 of the family's 1533-position model. The record is from RNAcentral.